UACCGGGAAGUCUUAUCAAGGGAUAUGGGUGAAGGGUCAGAGACAUGGAAUGGGAGUAAUGACUUUUGCAGAUGGGUCUACAUAUUCAGGGAGGUGGGGGAAAAAUAAUUAUCACGGCUGGGGAACGUUUAAAAACAUUGGCGAUGGGAC
Molecule: non-coding RNA, 150 nt
Filed under: Paramoeba aestuarina
Lineage: Eukaryota; Discosea; Flabellinia; Dactylopodida; Paramoebidae
Source: RNAcentral